UGGAUUUGAAUACCAAGUACGCUGCAUAAUGGGUUCCUGGCGACAGCAUGCAAGAAUUAAUUGUGCCUCUGAUUUUGAGACAACAUACCCUGAUGAGUUCAGCAACUUCUGCAAACCUCGGUAUAUCACCCCAUAUUAUAUACAGGGCCCUAGCUGAUAGCAUGAUACAUUUCUUCCCACUGUGCCUGUCCAGCGAAAAGCUCUGCAAA
This is a long non-coding RNA of Rhodamnia argentea, 209 nucleotides long. RefSeq lists it as uncharacterized. The transcript is spliced from 3 exons. The record is from RefSeq and is a predicted model, not a curated record. Lineage: Eukaryota; Viridiplantae; Streptophyta; Magnoliopsida; Myrtales; Myrtaceae.